RNAcentral lists this unclassified non-coding RNA (390 nucleotides) under soil metagenome. Its description in RNAcentral is "partial contains 5.8S ribosomal RNA, internal transcribed spacer 2, and large subunit ribosomal RNA". The stretch from base 1 to 122 matches the Rfam family "5.8S ribosomal RNA", at positions 35 to 154 of the family's 154-position model. The record is from RNAcentral.
GAUGAAGAACGUAGCGAAAUGCGAUACUUGGUGUGAAUUGCAGAAUCCCGCGAAUCAUCGAGUUUUUGAACGCAAGUUGCGCCCGAAGCCAUUCGGCCGAGGGCACGUCUGCCUGGGUGUCACGCAUCGUUGCCCCCCCAAACUUCGGUUCGGGCGGGGCAGAAGUUGGCCUCCCGUGCGUGCCUGCGCGUGCGGUUAGCCCAAAAGCGAGUCCUCGACGACGAGCGCCACGAAAAUCGGAGGUUUUUUUGCCCUCGUUCCUCGUCGUGCGUGCCCCGUCGCCCGAACGCGCUCUUGCGACCCUCACGCGUCGCCUCGGUGGCGCUCCCAACGCGACCCCAGGUCAGGCGGGACUACCCGCUGAGUUUAAGCAUAUCAAUAAGCGGAGGA